AAUAAAAUUCUGCAAUCUUUAAAUUUGGCAUGGAACGCGAUAAGUUCAGUGGAUUGCACUAAACAUCUUGCUAAAUACGUGAAAAAGUCGCAGUCGUUGCAAUUUCUUGAUUUAAAUAGUAACAGAUUGACAGGACCACCAUUAAAGAAAAUACGAAUAGCUCUUAGAAGAAGUAAAUCCUUGUUAGCCGCAAAAUUAGGAAACAAUCCAAUAAAUCCCGAUGAUGCAGUAACUCUUGGAAAAGCCCUGGCCGACGGAAAAAGUAUUAAGUUUCUCGAUUUGGAAAACGUGUUUGUCGAAAAAUCAUUUAUACCGGAAUAUACAGUAAUUACGUAAUUCGUGGUCCAGAUGAAAUGAAACUUAUGUUUCAAAGAGCAAUAUUCUUAUGUUUGAAACCGAAAAAGAAAAAGAAACAAAGAAAUUUUGGGCAUGUUGUCCUUUCCCUACCUGAUAAAGUUGAUAUGCCUCGACAAGAUUUCGAUGUGUUUGCAAAAAAA
This 497-nucleotide long non-coding RNA is filed under the name Agrilus planipennis (emerald ash borer). RNAcentral describes it as "uncharacterized LOC112904760, transcript variant X1". Lineage: Eukaryota; Metazoa; Arthropoda; Insecta; Coleoptera; Buprestidae. The record is from RNAcentral.